RNAcentral lists this ribosomal RNA (783 nucleotides) under uncultured Bacillota bacterium. RNAcentral describes it as "bacterial SSU rRNA". It matches the Rfam family "Bacterial small subunit ribosomal RNA", at positions 1 to 799 of the family's 1533-position model. The record is from RNAcentral. Lineage: Bacteria; Bacillati; Bacillota.
AGGAGAGUUUGAUCCUGGCUCAGGAUGAACGCUGGCGGCGUGCUUAACACAUGCAAGUCGAACGGAGAUAUUUGAAAGCUUGCUUUUAGAUAUCUUAGUGGCGGACGGGUGAGUAACGCGUGGGUAACCUACCCUGUACAGGGGGAUAGCAGUUGGAAACGACUGAUAAAACCGCAUAAAACGGCAGUACCGCAUGGUACAACCGUCAAAUAUUCAUAGGUACAGGAUGGGCCCGCGUCUGAUUAGCUAGUUGGUGGGGCAACGGCCUACCAAGGCGACGAUCAGUAGCCGGCCUGAGAGGGUGAACGGCCACAUUGGGACUGAGACACGGCCCAAACUCCUACGGGAGGCAGCAGUGGGGAAUAUUGGACAAUGGGGGAAACCCUGAUCCAGCGACGCCGCGUGAGUGAAGAAGUAUUUCGGUAUGUAAAGCUCUAUCAGCAGGGAAGAUGAUGACGGUACCUGACUAAGAAGCACCGGCUAAAUACGUGCCAGCAGCCGCGGUAAUACGUAUGGUGCAAGCGUUAUCCGGAUUUACUGGGUGUAAAGGGAGCGUAGGCGGCUAUGCAAGUCAGAUGUGAAAGCCCGGGGCUCAACCCCGGGACUGCAUUUGAAACUGCGUAGCUUGAGUGCAGGAGAGGCAGGCGGAAUUCCUAGUGUAGCGGUGAAAUGCGUAGAUAUUAGGAAGAACACCGGUGGCGAAGGCGGCCUGCUGGACUGAGACUGACGCUGAGGCUCGAAAGCGUGGGGAGCAAACAGGAUUAGAUACCCUGGUAGUCCCCU